UUGCUUCAGCUGCACAUAUAUUAAAAUUAGAAUAAUACCCUGAAGACUAACAUGGCUCCUGGGCCAGGAUGACACGCACAUUUGUGAACCAUUCCAUUGUUUU
Monodelphis domestica (gray short-tailed opossum) is the source of this 103-nucleotide small nuclear RNA. The record is from Ensembl. Lineage: Eukaryota; Metazoa; Chordata; Mammalia; Didelphimorphia; Didelphidae.